GAUGAACGCUGGCGGCGUGCUUAACACAUGCAAGUCGGACGGAAAGUGGUGUUUUCGGUGGCGGACUGGAGUGGCAAACGUAAGAGUAAGCCGUGGGUGGUGGGACCUGCACUUGGGGAUAAGGCUGGUAACCUGUGCGUAGUGGCGGAUAGGACGAUGGCUGGGAUGGGAUGGUGGAGAGUCUUUGGGUGUGGGAGGAGAUGGAGGCGUUUAAGGUGGUUGUUGGGGGUAUGUAGUACGAGGGCGUCGACGGGUAGCCGGCCUGAGAGGGUGUACGGCCGCAUUGGGACUGAGAUGCGGCCCAGACUCCUACGGGAGGCAGCAGUGGGGGAUAUUGCACAAUGGGGGCAAGCCUGAUGCAGCGACGCCGCGUGGGGGAUGACGGCCGUCGGGUUGUAAACUCCUUUCGCUAGGGACGAAGCGCAAGUGACGGUACCUGGAGAAGAAGCACCGGCUAACUACGUG
Molecule: ribosomal RNA, 465 nt
Filed under: uncultured bacterium
Lineage: Bacteria
Description: partial 16S ribosomal RNA
Rfam family: Bacterial small subunit ribosomal RNA
Source: RNAcentral